RNAcentral lists this transfer RNA (69 nucleotides) under Ictidomys tridecemlineatus (thirteen-lined ground squirrel). RNAcentral describes it as "Spermophilus tridecemlineatus (thirteen-lined ground squirrel) tRNA". It matches the Rfam family "tRNA". Rfam says of the family: Transfer RNA (tRNA) molecules are approximately 80 nucleotides in length. Lineage: Eukaryota; Metazoa; Chordata; Mammalia; Rodentia; Sciuridae. The record is from Rfam by way of RNAcentral.
GGAGUUGUAGCUCAGUGGUAGAGCGCUUGCCUAGCAUGUGUGAGACCGUGGGUUUGAUUCUCAGCACCA